UACGGAGGGUGCAAGCGUUAUCCGGAUUUACUGGGCGUAAAGCGCGCGCAGGCGGCUAUCCAAGUCAGUGGUGAAAGCCCGGAGCUCAACUCCGGAACUGCCAUUGAAACUGUUUAGCUUGAGGACGAGAGAGGUGAGUGGAAUUCCCAGUGUAGAGGUGAAAUUCGUAGAUAUUGGGAAGAACACCGAUGGCGAAGGCAGCCCCCUGGGCUAACACUGACGCUCAUGCACGAAAGCGCGGGGAGCAAACAGG
RNAcentral lists this ribosomal RNA (253 nucleotides) under uncultured bacterium. RNAcentral describes it as "partial 16S ribosomal RNA". It matches the Rfam family "Bacterial small subunit ribosomal RNA", at positions 524 to 776 of the family's 1533-position model. The record is from RNAcentral.